CUGAAAUAUUUAGCGAAAACAUAUAUAGGGGAUUCUUUUAUUUUUGGUGGGUAUCAAUUUUCGAGGAUUAAAGAAAUCUUAUAUUUUCUAGGAUAUUUGAUAUCGUGGUUUUGUCAAAGUCUGUAUUAUACCUGAUGGCAAAUUUGUCAUUCAUUGGUUCACCUGUCUCACUGAAAACCACGAAAAUUGGUAUCCCACAAAUAAUAAUGAAUCCAUAGUUGUAUACAGUCUAGUCCAAAAUAUUGUAUUAAGAAAAAUUUCAUUGAAAAUAUUUUACAUAAAUGUCUUAAGGGUGCAUUUAUUCAUUGAACAGAAAGG
This 318-nucleotide long non-coding RNA is filed under the name Mytilus galloprovincialis (Mediterranean mussel). The record is from RNAcentral. Lineage: Eukaryota; Metazoa; Mollusca; Bivalvia; Mytilida; Mytilidae.